This is a long non-coding RNA of Brienomyrus brachyistius, 852 nucleotides long. RefSeq lists it as uncharacterized. The transcript is spliced from 4 exons. Lineage: Eukaryota; Metazoa; Chordata; Actinopteri; Osteoglossiformes; Mormyridae. The record is from RefSeq and is a predicted model, not a curated record.
CAUAUCCAUAUCAAUUCAUUUCCUUUAUUCUGUUCAUGUUAGUGUAUUUUGUUGUUUGCAAAUGUCAGCUGUCAGAGGUUGCUAGGAUACGAACAUACCAUCUGGGAAUGUGGUCCUUCCACAGACUAUAUAGUAAAUUACAUAGGUUUCCUAAUACGGGAUAAUAGUGUUCAAGUGAAGCAUUUUAAAUAAAGCCCAUGACUAAAUAUGUGUGACCAAACCCCAAGAUUAAGCAAGAAUCAGUAAUUAGAGUCAAUUUAAAUAGACUGAUAGACUGACUGCAGGUGCACGUGAUUACAGAUGGAAGCCAUCUGGAAGUGGGCGUGGCCACAGAGGACAGCGACGCCUGCGGCAGGCGAUCACCAUUAGGUGGACCAAGGAAGAGACGAUCCUCGACAUGCUCCCGCUCUGCCCCUCAGGGAUUACCUGGGAGGCUGCCUUUGUUUCUCAAAGAAUCCUCAGAAAAGUGGCAUUAAAGUACAAGCGCCCUCUGAGACCUCACUGGAUAAAACGGGGUUUAUGUUUCUGUUUAGCGGGCGCGUUGCACAGCGUUAGUAAAGAUCCUGCGGCAAGUUGUGUUAAAAGUUGGCAGCUGUUGGGGCAAAAAAGUCAUCACAUUAAAAAAAAAAAACAAGAUGUCCUAAUAAAGCCUGAGAGACUCCUUCAAAGGAGGGGCCGCGCGUCUCUGGUCUGGGUCACGCUGGACUUGAAGCCCAUCAUAGACGGCACAGGACACAAGCAUAUAUUUCUAUCAUUUGCAGUUGGGAACUUCAAGGGAAACUCAUUUCAUUGCCUUGAUCUUCCAAUUUUGCUGCACUGUUGUGCAUUCGAUAAAUGAACAUUGAUUUGGUG